GCCCCGGAGCUCGCAGCUCCGCUCCGAGCAUCCCUGUCCGCCCCCGGGGCAGGACCAGGGCCGGGCAGGGAAGGGGGACGGGGCGGGGGAAGCGGGAACAAGCGCUCGGUACCUCCGCCCAGCCCCGGCUCGCCCGGCUGGAGCCGUCCCGGAGAGCACAGACUUUAUUUCGGCUGGGCGUGUUCCUCCCUGGUGAUGGGGAAUGAAGCUGGAUCAGGCUGGGUGGGAGGUGCUGAAUUUUGAAGUGAAAAUGGGAGUGAAACCACUGAGAGCACAAGAGCCCUUCCCAAUGAGAUCUCCUGUGUGUGCUGCACUCCGCAGGAUGCUCCUCAUUUUGAACCAUUUCUCCCCCUUCCCAGUGAGAUCUGCCAUGUGUGCUGCACAGGAUGCUCCUCAUUUUAAAGCAGGACCUCCAGCACAGAGAAAGAGGAUCCCACUGCAGUUUGAGCAUCUGUAAAGCUGAGCCUGAAUUCAAGCUAAAAUGUUUUAUUGGACUGUUAGGAUCCAUUCCAGUUCUACCAGAGCUGGAAAUCCCGAGGUUGGGAGCAUCAAGAACGAUGAGGGAUCAUCAUUUGGGCACUGAGAAAUGCUCAAAAUCUCCCUUCAGGCCACAAGAAAACCUGGGAAGGACAAGGAAUAUCCCCCUAGCUCGCACUCCCUCUCCUCACAGGUGGAAAUCAGAGGAGGAAAGAAAUAAAUGAACGAUAAAAUAAAUUAAAUACCAACAAAAAAAAAUCGUUAAUUUUCCAGUUCUCCCCAGCCUUGCCUGAACUUGGGAAAUGCAAAAUGUCAAUUUAUGAGCCACAGCAUCUCUCCUUGGAGAGGGGCAGGCACAGGGAUGCUCCAGGCACAUUCCAUGGGGAACAUUCCCCCAGCUUGCAUUCCCUCUCCUCACAGGUGGAAAUCAGAGGAGGAAAGACGUAAAUAAACAAUAAAAAAAUUAAAUACAAAAAUUUGUUAAUUUUCCAAUUCUCCCCAGCCUUGCUUGAUGUUGGGCAGUGCUAAAUGUCAAUUUAUGAGCCACAGCAUCUCUCCUUGGAGAGGGGCAGGCACAGGGAUGCUCCAGGCACAUUCCAUGGGGAACAUUCCCCCAGCUUGCAUUCCCUCUCCUCACAGGUGGAAAGAAAUAAAUGAACA
Long non-coding RNA from Zonotrichia leucophrys gambelii, 1137 nucleotides. RefSeq lists it as uncharacterized. Lineage: Eukaryota; Metazoa; Chordata; Aves; Passeriformes; Passerellidae. The record is from RefSeq and is a predicted model, not a curated record. The transcript has 4 exons.